Molecule: transfer RNA, 89 nt
Filed under: Richelia sp. CSU_2_1
Lineage: Bacteria; Bacillati; Cyanobacteriota; Cyanophyceae; Nostocales; Nostocaceae
Also listed under: 3 other names
Description: tRNA-Ser
Rfam family: tRNA
About the family: Transfer RNA (tRNA) molecules are approximately 80 nucleotides in length.
Source: RNAcentral
GGAGAGGUGGCCGAGCGGUUUAAGGCGCAGCACUGGAAAUGCUGAAAGUGAUGUAAGUUGCUUCGGGGGUUCGAAUCCCCCCCUCUCCG